GAGUCCAUGCGAGCACAGUAACAAAGUGCUUGUUCCCGCCACCACCUCCCCUCUUUCCAUGUAAUUCAUGCCCAACCCUGUCUAUUUACGGAGCCAUUAUGAUCAUGAAAGCACAAAAUAUUGGACAUAAAAUAUAAACGUCAUGUUUUUCAGAAAGAAACCUCUUUACUUUGAAGAAACUUCUGAGCCUACUUUCCAAAGACCGCCCUCUGGAUGAGAAUUUUCACAAUCGAAAUUAGAUGGCUCCAAAGUGGUUCACAUGAUGCAAACCGGUUAAGUGUGCUCAGCACUUCGGCAUUUUCAUGUCAUCUAUCUGCCCACUCCUGGACCCUCUUGGCACUGACUUGCACUCUGAAAUGCACUGCUCAUUCCUGUGCAAUCUGGACAGUGAGAACUAUUACCAGACGUUGAGAUCGUUCAAGACACAUGGAUUCCCAGGGAUCAUUAUCCUGGAAGCACAAAGUCAAGAAUAAACAUGAACACUCAAAUCCACCUAAAGAAGAAAAUUCACACCCCCUUUUGGCAGGUAAAUUGUGCUCGCAGUCAAGUGCUGCUUUGGUAAAGUUGUCCUGAAAACCGCUCCUCCUACACAGCCAGCCUCAGACACCUGGAUAGAAAUGGCAGAACCAUCAACAAGAGAUGAGUGACAAUAACACUGAACCAGGGACCAGGAACUGGGUUCUAGUACCAUUUCUACCACUAACUCUGGCCUUGAGUAAGUCAUCUCUCCUUCCAGGCACUCAGCUUUCUCGUCUGUGAAACAAUUGAAUACCACAGUAUUUUCCAACUUGCCUAUUCAUAAAUAUCUUGUAAAACACUUGUUAUAAAUUCAGAUUCCCAUA
Long non-coding RNA from Suricata suricatta (meerkat), 842 nucleotides. RefSeq lists it as uncharacterized. Lineage: Eukaryota; Metazoa; Chordata; Mammalia; Carnivora; Herpestidae. The record is from RefSeq and is a predicted model, not a curated record. The transcript is spliced from 3 exons.